Molecule: small RNA, 1016 nt
Filed under: Pongo abelii (Sumatran orangutan)
Lineage: Eukaryota; Metazoa; Chordata; Mammalia; Primates; Hominidae
Description: retained intron
Source: RNAcentral
AAGAUCAUCAGAGCGGGAGUCAGCUCUGUGGGGCCUUGGGUUGUUGGGGGUGCAAGCUUGGGAGGCCAGUUCUGCCUUUAUUGCGCCAAGCCAGCUCUGAGCCAAUGCGCCCCAAGGCACAGGAAGAAUGUCUACCUGCUACCUGGAAAGUCCCCGCGGAACCCCAGAGGCAGGAAACCUUGGGUGGAGCUCAUGGGGCAGCCUUCUAGGUGGGAUGAGGUGACGGGCCUCCCUGCUGCCCCUUCUUCCCUGUCCAGUGGAUGGAGUGGCAUCCUCGGGCACCUGUCCUGUUGGCGGGCACAGCCGAUGGCAACACCUGGAUGUGGAAAGUCCCGAAUGGUGACUGCAAGACCUUCCAGGGUCCCAACUGCCCAGCCACCUGUGGCCGAGUCCUCCCUGAUGGGAAGAGAGCUGUGGUAGGCUAUGAAGAUGGGACCAUCAGGAUUUGGGACCUGAAGCAGGGAAGCCCUAUCCAUGUACUGAAAGGGACUGAGGGUCACCAGGGCCCACUCACCUGUGUUGCCACCAACCAGGAUGGCAGCUUGAUCCUAACUGGCUCUGUGGACUGCCAGGCCAAGCUGGUCAGUGCCACUACUGGCAAGGUGAGUGGACCUGGAGCCCGGCUGGGUCCUCCGCUUUCCCGACUCCUCUCCUUCCUUCCUGGGUCUUCACUGUCUCCUCUCCCCACCAUCUUUCUCUCCAUCAAGCACCCGGAUUCCGGGUCCUCCUCUGAUCCUCUCUGGCUUUCAGGUGGUGGGUGUUUUUAGACCUGAGACUGUGGCCUCCCAGCCCAGCCUGGGAGAAGGGGAGGAGAGUGAGUCCAACUCGGUGGAGUCCUUGGGCUUCUGCAGUGUGUGAGUGAGGAUGGGGAGAGGGGUUUGUGGGAGGGGCCUGGGCUGGGGGCCCGGGGGGAGGGCAGGGCGUGUGAGUCCAGGCCCUCAUGAGUCUUCAUGGUACGCUUCUCUGCCCAGGAUGCCCCUGGCAGCUGUUGGCUACCUGGAUGGGACCUUGGCCAU